Molecule: long non-coding RNA, 900 nt
Organism: Daphnia pulicaria
Lineage: Eukaryota; Metazoa; Arthropoda; Branchiopoda; Diplostraca; Daphniidae
Exons: 4
Source: RefSeq, a predicted model, not a curated record
AUUCACAGUCGCAUGGUCGCACAUACAUGACACAUGACGUCGUAACUUUCAUAAGUUACUUCAAAACAAUUUUAAAAUUAAACAACGGAGAUCGGAUAAUGAGCUAACUGGUUUAAAUAAUUUUAGCUGAAGUUUUCGUGUACCUGGCUAACGGUACGUAGGUGCUCGUGACAGUAGAAAUAAAAUGGUCUAAUCAAAAAGUGCAAGCUCGCAUUCUAUGUCUUCUGAAGCCAAAUAAUUUCUGCUUCAAGUUUUUGUAAAUCUUCAAGAUGUUGAUGCCUUCACCAGAUCCAAUUCUUGACUGCUAUCGAUUUUGCAGACAACAGCAACAAAAUGUUUCUACUCAAGAUUUUGUGGUGAUUACCACUUCUAAUUUAGGACAAUGUAAGAUUUGAGGUUAAUCCCUCUGCUGUUAUAGUUGUUUGGAAACUGACAAGAGAUUGCUGGAAUUGAAGACUGGUAUAAUUUGUGUAGUUGUUAGUUAACUUACAAGUGCAUAAUCUGGGCUCCCUUCUUUUCUGUGGCCCCGUUUCCCUAACUAACCACUAACCAACGCCCGCCGGUGGGGAGGGCUCUGGUCGAACGGGGAAGGCGCAUGAUCAGAGGAAAUUUUUUGGAGGGUCAUGAGUCUAACCAGGAAGUCUACUAUGACUAAUCGCUUCUUAGCAAAACUGACCAUACUCUUCUUCACUGGUCAGGUAAUCUUCCUGGUCAGUGGUCAGAGUCAAUCAACUGAAUCAAGGCAGUGUCUUCCCUUUUCUUGAUUGAUUGUAACUGCAAGUCAGCAAAACAGCUAUCUAAGUUUACGGUUAGUGAUGGUUAGGUGGAAUAUAAUGUUGAAGAUUUGAUUGAACAAAUUUAUCAACAAAUUUUUGAUCAACAAAUUUAUUUGAGAAUAAU